RNAcentral lists this ribosomal RNA (434 nucleotides) under uncultured bacterium. RNAcentral describes it as "bacterial SSU rRNA". It matches the Rfam family "Bacterial small subunit ribosomal RNA", at positions 355 to 786 of the family's 1533-position model. The record is from RNAcentral.
UGAGGAAUAUUGGUCAAUGGGCGAGAGCCUGAACCAGCCAAGUCGCGUGAGGGAAGACGGUCCUAUGGAUUGUAAACCUCUUUUGCCCGGGGAGCAAAGAGCGGCACGUGUGCCGCGCCGAGAGUACCCGGAGAAAAAGCAUCGGCUAACUCCGUGCCAGCAGCCGCGGUAAUACGGAGGAUGCGAGCGUUAUCCGGAUUUAUUGGGUUUAAAGGGUGCGCAGGCGGCGCGUUAAGUCAGCGGUAAAAUUUCGGGGCUUAACCCCGACGAGCCGUUGAAACUGGCGUGCUAGAGUGGGCGAGAAGUAUGCGGAAUGCGUGGUGUAGCGGUGAAAUGCAUAGAUAUCACGCAGAACUCCGAUUGCGAAGGCAGCAUACCGGCGCCCAACUGACGCUCAUGCACGAAAGCGUGGGUAUCGAACAGGAUUAGAUACC